AACGAACGCUGGCGGCAUGGAUUAGGCAUGCAAGUCGAACGAGGUAGCAAUACCGAGUGGCGGAAGGGUGAGGAACGCGUGAGUAAUCUGCCCUCUAGUUGGGAAUAACAGUUGGAAACGACUGCUAAUACCGAAUGUGGCUGCAAGACCGCAUGGUCUUGCGGCUAAAAGAUUUAUCGCUAGAGGAUGAGCUCGCGUCCCAUUAGCUAGUUGGUGAGGUAACGGCUCACCAAGGCGACGAUGGGUAGCUGGUCUGAGAGGAUGGUCAGCCACACUGGGACUGAGACACUGCCCAGACUCCUACGGGAGGCUGCAGUCGAGAAUCUUGGGCAAUGCGCGAAAAGCGUGACCCAGCAAAUGCCGCGUGCGGGAUGAAGGUCUUCGGAUUGUAAAACCGCUGUCAACCGGACGAACAGAUGACUGUACGUGAAGAAGACACGGCUAACUAACGUGCCAGCAGCGCGGU
Molecule: ribosomal RNA, 466 nt
Filed under: uncultured bacterium
Lineage: Bacteria
Description: bacterial SSU rRNA
Rfam family: Bacterial small subunit ribosomal RNA
Source: RNAcentral